Rhododendron vialii is the source of this 107-nucleotide small nucleolar RNA. Lineage: Eukaryota; Viridiplantae; Streptophyta; Magnoliopsida; Ericales; Ericaceae. The record is from RefSeq and is a predicted model, not a curated record.
GUGUAUUGCGAUGAUGAUAUAUGUUAAUCCCAGCUCAUUAUGAGACCUCCUCUUUUGUGAGAAGGUCAGGGGAAAAUACUCUAUCAUUACAUGUAUUUGAGCUUCGU